Molecule: transfer RNA, 65 nt
Filed under: Metalimnobia quadrinotata
Lineage: Eukaryota; Metazoa; Arthropoda; Insecta; Diptera; Limoniidae
Description: tRNA-Arg
Source: RNAcentral
AAAUAUGAAGCGAUAAAUUGCAAUUAGUUUCGACCUAAUCUUAGAUGUAAAUUCAUCCUUAUUUU